UCUUUAGCAUAUGGUGGGUAUACAAUAAGCAAGUACUAGCUGCGCGUGGCUUCAGUGCUCAUCUCCGAUCCAUUGACUCUGAAGCUAAUGGUGGGAAUACAAUCAGCAAAGACUAGCUGCGCGUGGCUCCAGUGCUCAUCUCCGGUCCAUUGACUUUGAAGCUAAUGGUGGAUAAAAAAUAAACAAAGACUAGCUGCGCGUGGCUUCAGUGCUCAUCUCCGAUCCAUUGACUUUGAAGCUAAUGGUGGAUAAAAAAUAAACAAAGACUAGCUGGGCGUGGCCUCAAUGCUCAUCUCCGAUCCAUUGACCCUUGAGCCGAUGGCCAGUACAGCCUACAACACACAGAGACUAACCAGAUGCUGCGCCCAAAGUCUCAAGCCGUGUGUUGCCUGCCCUACGCACUCCUCAGACUCAUAAGCUACGCACGCAAGCGGUCACCUACACGCCAACGUUCCUGGAAUACGUGACGACUUCUCAGGGUGACUAUUCCUUCCCUAAUAUUAUUUUCGUACCCUAGUUUUUAUUGUUUGUAUUCUAUUGGUGGUAUAUUUUCAUUAUUAUUUUAUAGGCCUGUAUAUUUUUUUUCAGUACAUCUUAUUGGUUUCAUUUUGUAUUAGUGUUUUUUUUUCCUCUCCCGGUUUGAUGUUUUAAUCGAAUGUGUUUUGAAUUUGUUUGAAUCGUUUAUAUUUUAACCCGACAGCUGCGAUUGGCACAGAUUUGGCCUUCACUGGUAGCCUGGUAACAUACACUCCAAGGUCCUUCUCUGCCUCUGUGGUGGAUAGUGGAGUGUUUCCCAUGUGGUAUUGGUGUGCUGGAUAUCCCUUCACUAUUAGCCUGGUAACAUACACUCCAAGGUCUUUCUCUGCCUCUGUGGUGGAUAGUGGAGUGUUUCCCAUGUGGUAUUGGUGUGCUGGAUAUCCCUUCACUGGUAGCCUGGUAACAUACACUCCAAGGUCUUUCUCUGCCUCUGUGGUGGAUAGUGGAGUGUUUCCCAUGUGGUAUUGGUGUGCUGGAUAUCCCUUCACUGGUAGCCUGGUAACAUACACUCCAAGGUCUUUCUCUGCCUCUGUGGUGGAUAGUGGAGUGUUUCCCAUGUGGUAUUGGUGUGCUGGAUAUCCCUUCACUGGUAGCCUGGUAACAUACACUCCAAGGUCUUUCUCUGCCUCUGUGGUGGAUAGUGGAGUGUUUCCCAUGUGGUAUUGGUGUGCUGGAUAUCCCUUCACUGGUAGCCUGGUAACAUACACUCCAAGGUCUUUCUCUGCCUCUGUGGUGGAUAGUGGAGUGUUUCCCAUGUGGUAUUGGUGUGCUGGAUAUCCCUUCACUGGUAGCCUGGUAACAUACACUCCAAGGUCUUUCUCUGCCUCUGUGGUGGAUAGUGGAGUGUUUCCCAUGUGGUAUUGGUGUGCUGGAUAUCCCUUCACUGGUAGCCUGGUAACAUACACUCCAAGGUCUUUCUCUGCCUCUGUGGUGGAUAGUGGAGUGUUUCCCAUGUGGUAUUGGUGUGCUGGAUAUCCCUUCACUGGUAGCC
This is a long non-coding RNA of Eriocheir sinensis (Chinese mitten crab), 1528 nucleotides long. RefSeq lists it as uncharacterized. NCBI's taxonomy places the organism in Eukaryota, Metazoa, Arthropoda, Malacostraca, Decapoda, Varunidae. The transcript has 3 exons. The record is from RefSeq and is a predicted model, not a curated record.